This 364-nucleotide ribosomal RNA is filed under the name Meloidogyne enterolobii. RNAcentral's name for it is "partial 16S ribosomal RNA". The record is from RNAcentral. Lineage: Eukaryota; Metazoa; Nematoda; Chromadorea; Rhabditida; Meloidogynidae.
AUUAUUUUAAGAUUAUUUUUUAUUGUUGAAAAAAUUAAAAAUAAAUUGUUUUUAACAAAAAUUAAAAUUUAUAAUAUUUCAUUUUUUGGUUUUUUGUUUUAAAUUAAAAUAAUAAAUAUGGGGGAAAAAAAAAUUUUGUUAUAAAUUAUAUUAGUUUAUUUUAAUUAAAAAUAUUUUUUAUUAAAUUUGUUUUUUUUAUUUUUUUAUAAAAAAUAUUAAUUUAAUUAUUAUUAUUGAGUUUAAUUUAGUUAUUUUUAAAAAAAUUUUGUAUAAAAUAAAUUUGAUAAUAAAUGUUUUUUAAAUUCUUUGGGGGUUUAGUUUAUGAUUUUUUGUUUCUGCUCAUUGUUAAAUAAAAGCACUUUUA